GAUCAUUCUUGGGUAUAAUGAAUUAAAGAAGUAUUAUGAAGCUUUAUAAGGCAGGAUUAGCUCAUAAAAAUGGAGGGUUCUUUUGCUUUUCCAGUCCCAUUUGUUGUUUCACAGACAAAGAAUAAAACAAUCACUGAUGGCAAAGACUGCAAACUGCCAACGUUCAUCGGUAGAGCAAGGUGACGCUCGUCCUGUCCAGGCCUGUGGUUGGGAUAAGCUCAGAAAGCAGAGUCUCCAGGGCUGGUCAUCAUCUAUCAUAACCCUGCGUAUAAAGAAAGCCUUGAGAAAGAAAAGAAGUGACUUAUUAUGUGUCUUCUGACCUGGUUCUCAUUUUUAUUCAAAACAUUAGAACCUUGGGAAGAUGAAGAGAGGGCCAGAAAAAUGGGAAACCCUGGAUACAGAAACUUGGCUAGCUGUUUACUUUUUCACUGUACAUCUUUCUAUUGCAAUAGUUAAACCCCAAUUAAGACUGAAAUAACUCCUGAGGCAAACAAACGUAAUUGUGGAGACAGAGGGGAAAAUGUACUUCAGGGACUAGGAUCCUGCAGAGGGUUUCCGUCUUCCUGACAGAAAAACAACUUUGAAAAUUUGAGUCCUGGUAAUAGUUUGUUAACCAAGAACUCUACAAAUCCAGAAGGCACAAACAUGGCUUGGGGAGCCUUACCUUGCCAGAAGGACUAACCCAGAGCUUUACUACACCAUAGCUACCAAGCAACAGGCUUGUUCCUGAAGGUCUUUGGCUGAUUAACCAUUAACAUUUGAGGUCCUACAGUGAAAUGCUAUGCAGUUUGACUUUAUAUGGAGUACUUGGAAAACCCACUGAAAACUUGUAAGUACUGAAAUUACAGAUUCAGUUCGGGGUCUUGAAAGAC
RNAcentral lists this long non-coding RNA (872 nucleotides) under Homo sapiens (human). RNAcentral's name for it is "HSALNT0103043". Lineage: Eukaryota; Metazoa; Chordata; Mammalia; Primates; Hominidae. The record is from RNAcentral.